GAUGAACGCUGGCGGCGUGCCUAACACAUGCAAGUCGAGCGAUUUACUUCGGUAAAGAGCGGCGGACGGGUGAGUAACGCGUGGGUAACCUGCCCUGUACACACGGAUAACAUACCGAAAGGUAUGCUAAUACGGGAUAACAUAUUUUUAUCGCAUGGUAAAAAUAUCAAAGCUUUUGCGGUACAGGAUGGACCCGCGUCUGAUUAGCUAGUUGGUAAGGUAACGGCUUACCAAGGCGACGAUCAGUAGCCGACCUGAGAGGGUGAUCGGCCACAUUGGAACUGAGACACGGUCCAAACUCCUACGGGAGGCAGCAGUGGGGAAUAUUGCACAAUGGGCGAAAGCCUGAUGCAGCAACGCCGCGUGAGCGAUGAAGGCCUUCGGGUCGUAAAGCUYUGUCCUCAAGGAAGAUAAUGACGGUACUGAGAGAGCCCCCG
This 437-nucleotide ribosomal RNA is filed under the name uncultured bacterium. RNAcentral describes it as "bacterial SSU rRNA". It matches the Rfam family "Bacterial small subunit ribosomal RNA", at positions 28 to 495 of the family's 1533-position model. The record is from RNAcentral.